UCAGUAAUGCUGCUGUUUAGGAGGUGAGGGGCAAGAAGUUCUUCAUCACCUACAAAGGUAGGUGUUAUCAGACCAGUAAAACCUUCGAUACAAAAGUUCACAACAUUACUGACACUAAAAAUGAUCCUCAACUUACUUUAGGCCUCAAAAUCAUCAGGAUGUCUGGAUAAAAAAAAUGAAAACAGAAAUAUUUUAUGCUAAUUUGCCAGAGUUGUCAACAAGGUACUGCUGCAGUUUACAUCCAUCCAUCAACACCAACCAUGUUCAGACAAAUACAUAAAGAUAAACUGAGUAACUAUAACUUAUUUAGAGUACUCAUUCUUUAAUUUAAAUUGUAACUCAUAACAUAUUUCCUGCAAAGAUGUGGGAACUUUAAUAGUUGUCAUUGUUUUGGGAAACUGCAGCAUCUAAUGGAAUCAAACCGCACUCACUUCCUCUAGGUGUUUUUGUUCACAGGAGGGAUUCUGUAAGGGCACCACCCCCAGUUGUCUCCCUGCCAGCUUGUGCAGCCAAUUAAACAACAACUAUCAGACUUUUAUUUUUCCUUUUGUGAACAUUGUUCUUUAAAACCCAAUUGGCAGUCGAGUCCCAUAAUUUCCCUGUAUAGCAUGAAGCAGCAUGAGGUCUUUCUUCCCCACCAGGGGCAUUCUGUCAGUGUCUGACGUCAUUUGGAAACCAGCACCAACUAACUGUACAGAGCUUGUUUUUUUACUUGGAUCGACUGUGUUCACACAUAAAAUAAGCCCUUGAGUGGCAUAAUCAAAAACUCCUCUGAUGUGUCAGGAACAAACCAUGGCACAAUUCUUAGGAGAACAUGGGGGUAGUGACAAAGAGUGGCUUCAGGCUGUGCUUUAGGAACAAUCAACAGAGGCUGCAUCUUUGUUUCUGUGUAUCAAUGCAUCCCACAGGGAUGCUGUGCUGGGCCUCUUUUCUUAGCAGCUAUGCUCAUGCCUGAGAGUUUGGCUAAUUCCAACACAGAAAAAUUCCUCAUUCUAGUGCACAGCACACUCACAUCACCACAAAGCCUCACACACACAAAGUAUGGCGCUAUCAACCUAUCACCUCUAAUGGGAACAAAAGGUCAGGCCUUAAUUAUUCAUUCGGGAUGUCAAACAAUGCCGGCCGGCUGUUAUUUAGGGUGGGGGAGACCCAUUGAAUUAUUCAGAGGGCAGGAUUCUCUUUCCUUAGAAAAAGCAGCGCAGUGGUUCAGAUGUUUGUGAGAGUCUUAUCUGCGCUCCAUGGCCCGCUGUCAUUCCUGAGCUGACCUUGGCUGUCACUGCUGCGGCAGCACGGGUGGCACAGAAGGUGGCAGGGACUCGUGUUCUUCCCGUAUCUGCAGGCCUCCUCCACACAGACAGAGUGAGUAGGAAGCACUACAGGGAGCUGGCUGCUCCUCGGCUAAGUUCCCUCAGUGUCUGUUUACAGUACAGCAUGUGCCACGCUGUGCCAGCCUGCUGCCAAUGUAUGAGAAACUACAGAUUAUUCUCCCACAAUGACUUAUUCUGCUUUUCACCCGAGGUAUGUUUCUGUAUUGGUACACUUGCCAUGUCAAUUGCUCUUAAGCGGCUUUCUUAAGAUGUAAGGGGUGUUUAUUGCAGCUGAAGAGGCAAAAGCAGAUAUUAAUGCUAUUAAAGUGCAUUAAAGUGAAGAAUGCUGUAAUGUGAGUCACUUCCAGGGAAGGAUUAGAGGGAGGCAGCAUAGGGAGGAUUCAGAGCUAGGAGAGAAAAUGUUUGUCUCGUUAUGUGAGAGGCAGCAGAGGAAGAGAGAGAGAGAGAGAGAGAGAGAGAGAGAGAGAGAAGGCGAGACCACCCCACUGCUGACUCUAUCCCGUGCUGAACAAUAAGAGAGGUACACACACAGAUACAGUACACGUCUUAUCACACAGGGGAUGGCAAGCAGCCCAGAGGAAAUCAAAUCAGAGGCAUGUUUGUCAUUUUAAAUGCAAUCGACAGAAUGAUCCCAUCUUCUUAUGGCCAAUACCUCUCUGCUGUCAGUGCUGUAACACUCGAUAAGAGCAGCAGAGAUCACUCUGACUGUGACUGCUCUGCAAUUAGAGAUAAAAUAUGAUGAUCUAUACUUAUAGAUGCAGGAAGGGAUGACUCCAGCAGCAUUAUAAGAUCCUCCUGCUGAAUGCAAAGAAGUUUUAUACAGCUGUCAUAUGACACUUACACAUGUCGAAUGGGCCUGAUAAUACGCUAAUCACAUGUUGAAUGGGUCUGAUAAUAAGCUAAUCCCUGAUAAGUAGUUCCCAAUACCUCUAGAUUGAUGAACAUAUUACUAAAUCAUUAGAUAAUGAUUAGAUCACUUUACCUGGAAGCACUUAAGUGAUAACUUAUGAUCUAGUAAUUAGCUUUUAAUGAUUCCUUACUAGAUUUGUGCCACUCAUUGGCUGAUUUAUUCCUCAUCUCCAACUUCA
Molecule: long non-coding RNA, 2416 nt
Filed under: Xyrichtys novacula (pearly razorfish)
Lineage: Eukaryota; Metazoa; Chordata; Actinopteri; Labriformes; Labridae
Source: RNAcentral